UACGUAGGGUGCGAGCGUUGUCCGGAAUUACUGGGCGUAAAGAGUUCGUAGGCGGUUUGUCGCGUCGUUCGUGAAAACUUGGGGCUUAACUCCAAGCGUGCGGGCGAUACGGGCAGACUUGAGUACUACAGGGGAGACUGGAAUUCCUGGUGUAGCGGUGGAAUGCGCAGAUAUCAGGAGGAACACCAAUAGCGAAGGCAGCUCGCUGGGACGUUACUGACACUGAGGCGCGAAAGCGUGGGGAGCGAACAGG
Molecule: ribosomal RNA, 253 nt
Filed under: uncultured bacterium
Lineage: Bacteria
Description: partial 16S ribosomal RNA
Rfam family: Bacterial small subunit ribosomal RNA
Source: RNAcentral